UACGUAGGGGGCUAGCGUUGUCCGGAAUUAUUGGGCGUAAAGAGCUCGUAGGCGGUCUGUCGCGUCUGCUGUGAAAACUCAGGGCUUAACCCUGAGCUUGCAGUGGGUACGGGCAGACUAGAGUGCGGUAGGGGAGACUGGAAUUCCUGGUGUAGCGGUGAAAUGCGCAGAUAUCAGGAGGAACACCGGUGGCGAAGGCGGCUCUCUGGGACGGUACUGACGCUGAGACGCGAAAGCGUGGGGAGCGAACAGG
Molecule: ribosomal RNA, 253 nt
Filed under: uncultured bacterium
Lineage: Bacteria
Description: partial 16S ribosomal RNA
Rfam family: Bacterial small subunit ribosomal RNA
Source: RNAcentral